Molecule: non-coding RNA, 370 nt
Organism: Pelobates cultripes (western spadefoot toad)
Lineage: Eukaryota; Metazoa; Chordata; Amphibia; Anura; Pelobatidae
Source: the annotation of a GenBank genome assembly
CCUGUCUGUAUAAAUAGGGGCUCAAUUUCUUUAAGGCCCAGACCAGGGCCAAACACUCCUUUUCCACUGCUGCAUAACUCACUUCCCGAAGUAGUAACUUUCUGCUUAGGUAUGCGACAGGGUGCUCUCCUCCAUCUUCCCCAACCUGGCUCAGCACAGCCCCCAGUCCAUACAUGGAAGCAUCUGUAUGAACGAGAAAACGUUUGUUAGGGACUGGGCAGCCAGGACAGGGGCAUUCACAAGAGCCUGCUUCAGUGCCUGAAAUGCGGCUUCACAAGCUGGAGACCACAGGACCUGCUUCGGUAGAUUCUUUUUCGUCAGGUCAGUCAGGGGUUUGGCAAUAGUACUUUAAUCUGGGACAAAACGUCGG